RNAcentral lists this long non-coding RNA (2400 nucleotides) under Malus domestica (apple). RNAcentral describes it as "long non-coding RNA (MDOM_LNC020662)". The record is from RNAcentral. Lineage: Eukaryota; Viridiplantae; Streptophyta; Magnoliopsida; Rosales; Rosaceae.
UGGCAAGGUGUGGGAAAGAGUUAUGGAGGUGUGGAAUGGUGUCUAAAGGUGGAGGAUGGUGGUUGGAAUGGAUCAAAGGCUGCGGCAAGGUGUGGUUUUGGUGAUGGUGGCUGCGGCAAGGUGGGCAAAGGGGGAGAUGAUUUUCUGAUUUUCUGGAGAGGGAAGAGGAUCCUCGGCAAGGUGGUAAAACACAAAUAUAUAAGCACCUAAAACCCUAAUGAAAUCAGAUUAGACAACAAUGGGCUAGGGUUAGGUGCGGCACUUAAGUGAACAUGGGCUAGGGUUUGUAAAAUAGGCUUCUAGGAUGGAAAGGUGCGGCUUGGGUUUAGGAGGAAUGGACUAGGGUUUAACAUGGCAGAUUUUAGAUGAUUAGGCCCUAGGGUUCGGCAUGGGUUGAAGGUCCACAAGGAAUUUUGGGUUUAGGUCAUCUAAAAGCCCAACGCCAAGAAUAGAAACUCUCGAAAAUGGAAACCUCCAAGAAUAGAAACUUCCAACUUUUAGAAACUUUGGUUGCCAAUUCCGAUUUAGGAAAGAUCGACCCAAAAUGGAAACUUUUAGGCUUAGCUUUCCUACUUCAAGUAGGAAACCUCAAAUCUUCAACUCUUCAAUUCCAUCCCAACCUUGCGUUCCAAGCAUGUCCUUUUCAAUUCAAGCUCACUUUUUGCUCCAAAAGCUCCAAAUUGCAUCAUUUCAUGUAAUAGUCCGCUAAACCUGAAAACACGAGAAAGUAGCUUAAAAGACUACUUUAACAAAGAAAACAUAACAAAAAAUGCAUAAGAACUAGCUAACUAAGGCGCAUAAAUAUGCUCCUAUCACCUCACAUGGCUCUCUCUCUCUCUCUCUCUCUCUCCGACACACAUGCCUCAUUUCCCUCACUUUUCUUUUUUUUAACCGGUUUUUCUUCUCUCUCUCUCUCUCUCUGACACACAUGCCUCAUUUCCCUCACUUUUCUUUUUUUUUAACCGGUUUUUCUUCUCUUUCUCUCUCUCUCUCUCUCUCUCUCACUAAUUUUAUUAUUUUUUAACUCUCUCAUUCCAUCAUCUUCUUCAUAUUUGUAAACAGAGAGGUCGAAAGGACAAGGACCUUAAGCCUCCAUUUCUCCAGUGAUGUAUACAUUUUGUGUACAUUUAUAUCAUCUUUAUUUGGCAGUUUUGUGAUGUUUUUGAAUCAAGCUAGUUGUGUUUUUACAUUAUUUGGUGUUAGUGUGCAGUCAAGUAUGUUUUAGGAUCAAUUGGAUUGCAAAUGAAGUAAAAUCAUUCCUUUUGGUAGAUGAUCAUCAUCCCAAACGUGGAGAAGGUUCUUGAGGAGUUAUUUUGAGGAUUAUAGAACUACUUUGGCUGUUGAAAUUUCAAGAAAGCAUGUGGAGGGAAAGUGGUGCAUUCGGUUUCAAACAAAGCAAGAGCAUUGGAAUUAAAUUAGGGGUUACACACACCUUGUGCCGUGCAUUCCCUUGCAAUUCCAGCUCCUUUUGGCAGCAGCAACAUGCAAUCCCAUUAAACUAAGUCAUUCAGCCACAUGUUCACCUCAAAGCAAAGCCAUGCCGUGCCUUUCUUUCCCUUUCCAGCAUGUGGGAACAAUUCCAGCUUGUCCACUGCAACCUUGCAGCCAUUGCACAUGCUUCUUCAAUUAAAUAAGCACCAAGCAUGCUUGUGUUCUCUGGUGCCGUGCCUUGCCAUUCCAGAAAUCACCUCAUUCCAUCAUCAUUUCAGAUUUGGCAGCUCCAUUAUUCUACUAUCAUCCGCAUGUUCUCCCAAGAGACUUCAUUUUAAAAGUCCAUGCAAUCUCACUUCUUGGGGGCUCUCUCGGUCACACCAUUCACACACUUAGCAAUUCCACUUUCUGUCCAUCUUCUCUCCCAUUCGCACAAACCACCCAUCCACAAACUGCUCAUCUUUCAUGUUACAUCACAAUUGGAGAAUCAAGACCGAAGGCCAUUCUUGAAGGAUUUCAACACAUCAGUUUUGCUUCAAGGGUUUCUUCUUCUCAAUUCCAUGUUCAUUCAUGUUAUGUAUUUCUAUGUUAAAACGUUUGUAAACAUGAAAUGUAACUAAUCUCUUCUUAGGGAUUCGAUGUAGCCUAGCAAGAAACCCAUGUAGUUAAUUCAUAAUGCUCAUUUGAUCCUUCUAUUUCUUGUUUCAUUCUCUGAUUUUAUUGUGACUUUGUGUGUUGAUUUUAAUGCUUGAUCACCACUUGAAUUAACCACAGGUUGUGUAGCCAAAAUUAGAAGCACACAUCAUGCAUAAUUUUGGCAGAUUUGGGAGUGAUUGAAGGAGAUGUUUGGCAAACAUCCUGCCGUGUGUCCCCUUUGGUUUUGUGAAAGUUUCUUAUGUAUAAAACAUCCUUGGUUGAGAACCAAAGUUGCACAUCACAAUUUGGUUCUUGACUAGGAUGAUUUGAUCA